Molecule: ribosomal RNA, 830 nt
Filed under: Pseudomonas sp. EP_S_53
Lineage: Bacteria; Pseudomonadati; Pseudomonadota; Gammaproteobacteria; Pseudomonadales; Pseudomonadaceae
Description: bacterial SSU rRNA
Rfam family: Bacterial small subunit ribosomal RNA
Source: RNAcentral
GGCAGGCCUAACACAUGCAAGUCGAGCGGAUGAGAGGAGCUUGCUCCUUGAUUUAGCGGCGGACGGGUGAGUAAUGCCUAGGAAUCUGCCUGGUGGUGGGGGAUAACGUUCCGAAAGGAACGCUAAUACCGCAUACGUCCUACGGGAGAAAGCGGGGGAUCUUCGGACCUCGCGCCAUUAGAUGAGCCUAGGUCGGAUUAGCUAGUUGGUGAGGUAAAGGCUCACCAAGGCGACGAUCCGUAACUGGUCUGAGAGGAUGAUCAGUCACACUGGAACUGAGACACGGUCCAGACUCCUACGGGAGGCAGCAGUGGGGAAUAUUGGACAAUGGGCGAAAGCCUGAUCCAGCCAUGCCGCGUGUGUGAAGAAGGUCUUCGGAUUGUAAAGCACUUUAAGUUGGGAGGAAGGGUAUUCACCUAAUACGUGAGUAUUUUGACGUUACCGACAGAAUAAGCACCGGCUAACUUCGUGCCAGCAGCCGCGGUAAUACGAAGGGUGCAAGCGUUAAUCGGAAUUACUGGGCGUAAAGCGCGCGUAGGUGGUUCGUUAAAUUGGAUGUGAAAGCCCCGGGCUCAACCUGGGAACUGCAUCCAAAACUGGCGAGCUAGAGUACGGUAGAGGGUGGUGGAAUUUCCUGUGUAGCGGUGAAAUGCGUAGAUAUAGGAAGGAACACCAGUGGCGAAGGCGACCACCUGGACUGAUACUGACACUGAGGUGCGAAAGCGUGGGGAGCAAACAGGAUUAGAUACCCUGGUAGUCCACGCCGUAAACGAUGUCAACUAGCCGUUGGAAUCCUUGAGAUUUUAGUGGCGCAGCUCACGCAUUAAGUU